Bos taurus (domestic cattle) is the source of this 967-nucleotide long non-coding RNA. NCBI's taxonomy places the organism in Eukaryota, Metazoa, Chordata, Mammalia, Artiodactyla, Bovidae. The record is from Ensembl.
GGCAGCUUUGGCUUGUGUGAGCGCUCAGUGAGGGCAUCUUCUGAGCCACCCUACCUGUGCAGGCCUCAGUCCAGCAUGAGAACAAAGGGAAGAUCCAAUCACCCUGCAGAGAAGCCCAGCUACAAGUCCUUUCUCUGCCUUAACACAGUUAUGGUGGCUGUAUAGUUAGGUUUGCUUCUGAUCAGAGCUAGGUAUCAUAUGAUCUUGCAAACGUAAUUAAGAAACAGACUCCUUAAUCAGAAGUCUGUUUUACCUUUUCUCUCCAUGUUUGUUUUUAGUUAAGGUAUGUAUGCUAGUUGCUCAGUCGUGUCCGACUCUUUGUGAUCCCAUGGACUAUAGCCCUCCAGACUCCUCUGUCCAUGGAAUUCUCCAGGCAAGAAUACUGGAGUGGGUAGCCAUCCCCUUCACCAACAGAAUCUUCCUGACCCAGGGAUCGAACCCAGGUCUCCUGCACUGCAGUCGGAUUCUUUACUAUCUGAGCCAUAUCAAGAACACAACUAAGGAGUCUGCUCAUCUGGGCUGAAUUCUACUGACAUCUCUUACCAGCUGUGUAACCACAGGUGAAGGAUUGCACCUCUGUGCCUCAGUCUUCUCUGCAAAAUGGCUCCUCUGUCCAUGGGAUUCUCCAGGCAAGAAUACUGGAGUGGGUAGCCAUUCCCUUCUCCAAAGGAUCUUCCCAACCCAGCAAUUGAACCCAGGUCUCCUACAUUGCCGGCAGAUUCUUUACCACUGAGCUACCACGGAAGCCCCAGUUAAAAGAGAGGAUCACGGGCAGAGGUUAAGAAAGAAUUCUGAUCCUGAGCAUCUGCAGGACUUGACAUCCUCUGUCCUAGCCCUUUGUCUCGUGCUCAUCAGAGAACUCCAAUGCUGAAUUUUUUAGGUGCCGUGGGAUGAAAAGACAUGGAACUAACAUGUGCAACCAAAGUGUGUGACUACUGAAGGGAAUAUUGAAUCAAUGGAUCUUAUG